This 328-nucleotide ribosomal RNA is filed under the name uncultured eukaryote. RNAcentral's name for it is "partial 18S ribosomal RNA". It matches the Rfam family "Eukaryotic small subunit ribosomal RNA", at positions 1470 to 1796 of the family's 1831-position model. The record is from RNAcentral.
CCCUUAGAUGUCCGGGGCUGCACGCGCGCUACACUGAAGGAAUCAGCGUGCUAAAACCAUUGUCGAAAGGCAUUGGUAAACCCAUUAAAAUCCUACGUGAUUGGGAUCGGGAAUUGCAAUUAUUUCCCUUGAACGAGGAAUUCCCAGUAAGUGUGGGUCAUAAGCUCGCGUUGAUUACGUCCCUGCCCUUUGUACACACCGCCCGUCGCUGCCCGGGACUGAGCCGUUUCGAGAAAAGCGGGGACUGCUGCUGUCGGGGCUUUCGGGCCUUGGCUUCGGAGGAAACCGCUUUAAUCGCAGUGGCUUGAACCGGGCAAAAGUCGUAACA